AUGUUCUUCAGCCUUGGCAAGCUAUCUGUUCAGACAUCUGCAAACAAGAUGAGUCCACAGCAGACACUCUGCUGGCUGUUGAAUUGGAUCACAGUGCUGCAAUCCUGUUUCCAUGGUUUGGGGCCUUGGAAAGAAUGCUGUUUUUCUUGUCACUCUCACCACUACCCCAUUCGAUCACCUUUAUCUUCUGAGACCAAUCCAAGCCUAAAGGGAGAAGGCAAGGCAUCAUCUUAUUUCAAUUGCUUCAAUCUGAGAUCAAAUGUAAUCAGCAGUGGGAAGAGGAGAGGAUGGUGGCCAAAAUCUUGCUCUUCCCAGCAAACUCAACAAAAGCGAAAUAUUUGA
RNAcentral lists this long non-coding RNA (342 nucleotides) under Anolis carolinensis (green anole). RNAcentral's name for it is "lncRNA (ENSACAG00000030538.2)". Lineage: Eukaryota; Metazoa; Chordata; Lepidosauria; Squamata; Anolidae. The record is from RNAcentral.